UCCAGACUCCUACGGGAGGCAGCAGUGAGGAAUAUUGGUCAAUGGGCGCGAGCCUGAACCAGCCAAGUCGCGUGAGGGAGGACGGCCCUACGGGUUGUAAACCUCUUUUGCCGGGGAGCAAAGGGCGCCACGUGUGGCGUUUUGCGAGUACCUGAAGAAAAAGCAUCGGCUAACUCCGUGCCAGCAGCCGCGGUAAUACGGAGGAUGCGAGCGUUAUCCGGAUUUAUUGGGUUUAAAGGGUGCGCAGGCGGAAUGUCAAGUCAGCGGUAAAAUUUCGGGGCUCAACCCCGUCGUGCCGUUGAAACUGGCGUUCUUGAGUGAGCGAGAAGUAUGCGGAAUGCGUGGUGUAGCGGUGAAAUGCAUAGAUAUCACGCAGAACUCCGAUUGCGAAGGCAGCAUACCGGCGCUCAACUGACGCUCAUGCACGAAAGCGUGGGUAUCGAACAGGAUUAGAUACCCCAGUA
This 464-nucleotide ribosomal RNA is filed under the name uncultured bacterium. RNAcentral describes it as "bacterial SSU rRNA". It matches the Rfam family "Bacterial small subunit ribosomal RNA", at positions 330 to 792 of the family's 1533-position model. The record is from RNAcentral.